This 488-nucleotide ribosomal RNA is filed under the name uncultured bacterium. Its description in RNAcentral is "bacterial SSU rRNA". It matches the Rfam family "Bacterial small subunit ribosomal RNA", at positions 8 to 526 of the family's 1533-position model. The record is from RNAcentral.
AGAGUUUGAUCAUGGCUCAGAACGAACGCUGGCGGUAUGCUUAACACAUGCAAGUCGAACGAACGAGAUUUUAGCUUGCUAAAAUCAAGUUAGUGGCAAACGGGUGAGUAACACGUGGGAAUCUACCCAGUAGUACGGAAUAACAGUUGGAAACGACUGCUAAUACCGUAUAGUAUCGAGAGAUUAAAGAUUUAUCGCUACUGGAUGAGCCCGCGUCAGAUUAGGUAGUUGGUGGGGUAAUGGCCUACCAAGCCCAAGAUCUGUAGCUGGUCUGAGAGGAUGAUCAGCCACACUGGAACUGAGACACGGUCCAGACUCCUACGGGAGGCAGCAGUGAGGAAUAUUGGACAAUGGGCGAAAGCCUGAUCCAGCAAUACCGCGUGAGUGAAGAAGGCCUUAGGGUUGUAAAGCUCUUUCAGCAGGGAAAAUAAUGAUGGUACCUGCAAAAGAAGUUCCGGCUAACUCCGUGCCAGCCGCCGCGGUAAUAC